Molecule: ribosomal RNA, 172 nt
Filed under: Symphysanodon katayamai
Lineage: Eukaryota; Metazoa; Chordata; Actinopteri; Acropomatiformes; Symphysanodontidae
Description: partial 12S rRNA
Source: RNAcentral
CACCGCGGUUAUACGAGUAACCCAAGUUGAUACAAUUACCGGCGUAAAGCGUGGUUAAGAUAAACCAAAAAAUUAAAGCCGAACCGCCUCAAAGCUGUUAUACGCUUCCGAGCGUGAGAAGCCCAACCACGAAAGUGGCUUUAUAACCUCUGAAUCCACGAAAGCUAGGAAA